This 867-nucleotide ribosomal RNA is filed under the name Gram-negative bacterium W5P-1. RNAcentral describes it as "bacterial SSU rRNA". It matches the Rfam family "Bacterial small subunit ribosomal RNA", at positions 67 to 1086 of the family's 1533-position model. The record is from RNAcentral.
UGGAUUCUUUGUGGUAGAGGACUCGUAUCGCACGCUCGUAACAGGUUUGGCCUGGGUGAUAGGAGCGUAGGUGGGGUAAGCACAGGGCGUGGAGUGUUAAGUACAGCCCUGACUAGCCGUCAGCUCUCGGCAGCACAUGGGAAUAUUGGACAAUGGGGCAACCUGAUCCAGCCAUCCGGUGGGUGAAGAAGGCCUUCGGGUUGUAAAGCCCUUUUGUUGGAAAGAAAAGCAUUCGGGUUAAUACCCGAUUGUUCUGACGGGUACCCAAAGAAUAAGCACCGGCUAACUUCGGUGCCAGCAGCCGCGGUAAUACGAAGGGUGCAAGCGUUACUCGGAAUUACUAGGGCGUAAAGCGUGCGUAGGUGGUUGUUUAAGUCUGUCGUGAAAGCCCUGGGCUCAACCUGGGAAUUGCGAUGGAAACUGGGCGACUAGAGUGUGGCAGAGGGUAGUGGAAUUCCUGGUGUAGCAGUGAAAUGCGUAGAGAUCAGGAGGAACAUCCGUGGCGAAGGCGACUGCCUGGGCCAACACUGACACUGAGGCACGAAAGCGUGGGGAGCAAACAGGAUUAGAUACCCUGGUAGUCCACGCCCUAAACGAUGCGAACUGGAUGUUGGGUGCAAUUUGGCACGCAGUAUCGAAGCUAACCGUUAAGUUCGCCGCCUGGGGAGUACGGUCGCAAGACUGAAACUCAAAGGAAUUGACGGGGGCCCGCACAAGCGGUGGAAUAUGUGUUUAAUUCGAUGCAACGCGAAGAACCUUACCUAGCCUUGACAUGCACGGAACUUUCCAGAGAUGGAUUAAUGCCUUCGGAACCGUGACACAGUGCUACAUGGCUAUCAUCACUCAUGUCUGAGAUGUGGUUAAUCC